UCCUGGCUCAGGAUGAACGCUGGCGGUCUGCUUAACACAUGCAAGUCGAACGCAAUCCUUAGGGAUUGAGUGGCGGACGGGUGAGUAACGCGUGAGAAUCUGCCUUCAGGUUGGGGACAACCACUGGAAACGGUGGCUAAUACCCAAUGUGCCGCAACGUGAAAGAUUUAUCGCCUGAAGAGGAGCUCGCGUCUGAUUAGCUAGUUGGUGAGGUAAGAGCUCACCAAGGCGUCGAUCAGUAGCUGGUCUGAGAGGACGAUCAGCCACACUGGGACUGAGACACGGCCCAGACUCCUACGGGAGGCAGCAGUGGGGAAUUUUCCGCAAUGGGCGAAAGCCUGACGGAGCAAGACCGCGUGAGGGAGGAAGGCUCUUGGGUUGUAAACCUCUUUUAUCAGGGAAGAAGCUCUGACGGUACCUGAUGAAUAAGCAUCGGCUAACUCCGUGCCAGCAGCCGCGGUAAUACGGAGGAUGCAAGCGUUAUCCGGAAUUAUUGGGCGUAAAGCGUCCGCAGGUGGCUUUUCAAGUCUGCUGUCAAAGCCCGGAGCUCAACUCCGGCAAGGCGGUGGAAACUGAGAAGCUAGAGUGCAGUAGGGGUAGAGGGAAUUCCCGGUGUAGCGGUGAAAUGCGUAGAGUUCGGGAAGAACAUCGGUGGCGAAAGCGCUCUGCUGGACUGCAACUGACACUCACAGGACGAAAGCUAGGGGAGCGAAUGGGAUUAGAUACCCC
Molecule: ribosomal RNA, 729 nt
Rfam family: Bacterial small subunit ribosomal RNA